UGUGGUAGCAAAAUCACUAGGAGGUUACAAUGAAUUUUGUAGGAAUGAUUUAUCAAGAGAAAAACUGUCUUUAUAUUAAAGUUUGAAUUUAACUUUUAAGUGAAAAGGCUUAAAUAUUCUAAAGGGACGAUAAGACCCUAUAAAACUUUACAUUAGCUGUUAAUAUUUUAUUUAAUUUUGUUGUAUUACGAUUUAAAUUUAAUUUUUUGUUAUGUUGGGGAGACAAAAGCUAUAAUUUAUAUUAACCGCUUGAAAAGAAAUCAAUAACUUAGCGACCCCUUUGUUACCUACCCCCUCUAAACUUAAAAAGACUAAUUUACUUUUCGGAUAACAUCUUUUUUUUUUUUGAGAUUUCAUAUC
RNAcentral lists this ribosomal RNA (360 nucleotides) under Potamonautidae sp. Crab_4b_Kiambu. RNAcentral's name for it is "partial 16S ribosomal RNA". Lineage: Eukaryota; Metazoa; Arthropoda; Malacostraca; Decapoda; Potamonautidae. The record is from RNAcentral.